AUUCGCCCUUCCUACGGGGGGCUGCAGUGGGGAAUAUUGGACAAUGGGGGAAACCCUGAUCCAGCGACGCCGCGUGAGUGAAGAAGUAUUUCGGUAUGUAAAGCUCUAUCAGCAGGGAAGAAAAUGACGGUACCUGACUAAGAAGCCCCGGCUAACUACGUGCCAGCAGCCGCGGUAAUACGUAGGGGGCAAGCGUUAUCCGGAUUUACUGGGUGUAAAGGGAGCGUAGACGGCACUGCAAGUCUGGAGUGAAAGCCCGGGGCUCAACCCCGGGACUGCUUUGGAAACUGUGGUGCUAGAGUGCAGGAGAGGUAAGUGGAAUUCCUAGUGUAGCGGUGAAAUGCGUAGAUAUUAGGAGGAACACCAGUGGCGAAGGCGGCUUACUGGACUGUAACUGACGUUGAGGCUCGAAAGCGUGGGGAGCAAACAGGAUUAGAUACCCCUGUAGUC
RNAcentral lists this ribosomal RNA (450 nucleotides) under uncultured bacterium. RNAcentral's name for it is "bacterial SSU rRNA". It matches the Rfam family "Bacterial small subunit ribosomal RNA", at positions 328 to 795 of the family's 1533-position model. The record is from RNAcentral.